GUGGGGAAUAUUGGACAAUGGGCGAAAGCCUGAUCCAGCCAUGCCGCGUGUGUGAAGAAGGUCUUCGGAUUGUAAAGCACUUUAAGUUGGGAGGAAGGGCAGUAAGUUAAUACCUUGCUGUUUUGACGUUACCGACAGAAUAAGCACCGGCUAACUUCGUGCCAGCAGCCGCGGUAAUACGAAGGGUGCAAGCGUUAAUCGGAAUUACUGGGCGUAAAGCGCGCGUAGGUGGUUCAGUAAGUUGGAAGUGAAAUCCCCGGUCUCAACCUGGGAACUGCUUUCAAAACUGCUGAGCUAGAGUACGGUAGAGGGUGGUGGAAUUUCCUGUGUAGCGGUGAAAUGCGUAGAUAUAGGAAGGAACACCAGUGGCGAAGGCGACCACCUGGACUGAUACUGACACUGAGGUGCGAAAGCGUGGGGAGCAAACAGGAUUAGAAACCCGAGUAGUCC
This 450-nucleotide ribosomal RNA is filed under the name uncultured bacterium. RNAcentral's name for it is "partial 16S ribosomal RNA". It matches the Rfam family "Bacterial small subunit ribosomal RNA", at positions 354 to 796 of the family's 1533-position model. The record is from RNAcentral.